This 77-nucleotide transfer RNA is filed under the name Sorangiineae bacterium NIC37A_2. RNAcentral describes it as "tRNA-Pro". It matches the Rfam family "tRNA". Rfam says of the family: Transfer RNA (tRNA) molecules are approximately 80 nucleotides in length. Their secondary structure includes four short double-helical elements and three loops (D, anti-codon, and T loops). Further hydrogen bonds mediate the characteristic L-shaped molecular structure. tRNAs have two regions of fundamental functional importance: the anti-codon, which is responsible for specific mRNA codon recognition, and the 3' end, to which the tRNAs corresponding amino acid is attached (by aminoacyl-tRNA synthetases). tRNAs cope with the degeneracy of the genetic code in two manners: having more than one tRNA (with a specific anti-codon) for a particular amino acid; and 'wobble' base-pairing, i.e. permitting non-standard base-pairing at the 3rd anti-codon position. Lineage: Bacteria; Pseudomonadati; Myxococcota; Myxococcia; Myxococcales. The record is from RNAcentral.
CGGGGCGUGGCGCAGUUUGGUAGCGCGCACGGUUCGGGUUCGUGAGGUCGGCAGUUCGAAUCUGCCCGCCCCGACAA